AACAAACCAUCAAGUGGAAGUUAUACUGGUGAUCCCGGAGUCACUUUGUCCCUCACAGAUCUUCAGGUGAAGGUGGGCACAUCUAGAUAUUCUUUUUGGGCAGAUCUGACGUGUGUCAGCAGUUGUACUCUCCCUCCUCAUUCCUCCUACAUUUGGUUCAAGAAUGGAGAGAAAAUCCCCAGAAAAACAUCCUCGACUUACUCAGCCUACUUUAAUAAUGCAGACAGCUAUUCCUGUGCUUUACAGGAACACCAGGAUUUCCCCUCUCCUCCAGUGUGUGUUCGUGGUGAAACCUGUAACAGAGUGAAGUACGAUGUCAG
This is a non-coding RNA of Labrus bergylta (ballan wrasse), 320 nucleotides long. Lineage: Eukaryota; Metazoa; Chordata; Actinopteri; Labriformes; Labridae. The record is from RefSeq and is a predicted model, not a curated record.